UGAGAGUGAGUUUCUUAGUGAGGCAGUAAGAGAGCAAGCUACCCCACAGACAGCAGCCCCCCUGUUUUUUGUGGGCCUUGCUUCCUGUUUUGAGGUUUGUUAAAUGGGUGUUAGGGCAUUCAGUGAAGAGGAGGAGGCGAGUUCAGAAUCAUCCCGGAAAGGGGUGGAGAGGACUUGGAGGAGCUCCGUCGGCCAUUCUGCAUCCUUAUGUGGGCUGUUGGCUUCCCUGGUGUGCCAUGUAGCUUCUGAUGCUUAUAAUGAGCAUCUAAAGAGAUGGGAGUCUGUUGAUAGAGGACUCAAUUGUGUUCUCUGAUGCACCAUCAACCAAAGCAUUUCUAGCCUAUUUUAGGAAAUAAUGACACCACACUCAGGAGUUUAUUAGCAUUUAUUUGAACCAAACAAAGUGUAUGCCUGGAAGCAAGACCUCAACAGACUUAGAAAAACACUUCCCAGAAAAGACUGUGUGGAGUCUGUUCAUGCCUUUGGAACGAAGGGGGAAGGGUGCUCGUCCGUUUUCUUGGGGACCGACGGUGCAUAGGAGCUGGAUGCAUAAGCGGGGCGUUUGAAGUGGCGCAGCGGAGGCUUGAUCACUGGCGGCCAUACAAAGGAAGGACAGACAGCUGUUAGCUCAGCGAGGCCCCAGCAAGCUCCUCAGCCCGAGACCUGUUUGCUGUCUUCAAAACCAAGAAACAAACAGAGCUAAACUCUCCCUGGAGUCUGAGGGAGAUAGAUGAAUCGGACAGAUGAAUAAGCAUAUCAUCACCUUGGCCACUCACUUUAAAUAAAGACAAAUUCCCAGAGAU
This is a long non-coding RNA of Pipistrellus kuhlii (Kuhl's pipistrelle), 803 nucleotides long. RefSeq lists it as uncharacterized. The transcript is spliced from 4 exons. The record is from RefSeq and is a predicted model, not a curated record. NCBI's taxonomy places the organism in Eukaryota, Metazoa, Chordata, Mammalia, Chiroptera, Vespertilionidae.